GUGAAAAGAUUAAAAGAAAACAAGAUAAGAAAAAGUAGAAAAAAUAAAUAAAUAAAAUAAACAAACAAGAACAAACAAUGAAGUAACUAGAGGAUGAAAACAAAUGAAAGAAAACGGAAUGAAAGAAAAACGGGAAAGGCGGCGAAUGAAGAGAAUGGGGAAAAUAUUGCAAGUGAGAAGAAAAAAGAAACGAAAAAGAAGAAAAGAAAAAAAAACAGAACAGCAAGAAGAUUAAGUUUAUUAUGAAGCGUGGACGUGACGGGGCGCCGAGAGGGGAGCGGCUUUCCCUACAACGCCCCUAAGUCAGUGGGGACACACGCCUACGCCUCCUACUUCAUCCGGAUCGCCUACCCAGUUAUCCGGACUGCCUAUCAGUUAUCCGGACUGCCUAUCCAGUUAUCCGGGCCGCCUUUUCAGUUAUCCGGAUCCCCUAUUCAGUUAUCCGGACCGCCUAUCCAGUUAUCCACGCCGCAUCGUAACCGGACUCUCUUAACUCGUCCAAUUAUCGAACUUCACUUCUAUUUCUUUUGCAUUUCAUCCUUCUUUCUCUCUCUAUCUCUCUCUCUCUCACCUUUCACCUUUCAUACCCCUCCUCCUCCUCCUCCUCCUCCUCCUCCUCCUCCUCCUCCUCCUCUUCCUCCUCUUCCUCCUCCUCUUCCUUCUCUCUCACAGUAUUAACCAGUAAACUUCUGCCUCUAUAUCAGUAUCUUCCUCUUCCUCCCCCUCCUCCUCCUCCUCCUCCUCUUCCUAGUCAUGCCCCUCGGUAAAGUAAGCAGUGUUGCCAGUCCAGUCACUACCCCUACACAGACAGCAUUGCCAACUCCACGAAAUACCUUACAUUCUCCUUCUCCUCCUCCUCCUCCUCCUCCUCCUCUUCUUUCUUCUCUUCGUUUACCUCCUCCACCUCUUUCCCCUCCUAUUCUUCAUGUUCCUCCUCCUCCUCCUCCUCCUCCUCCUCCUCCAGAUUCUCCUCCUCCUCCUCCUCCUCCUCCUCUUCCUCCUACUCCUCCUCCUCUUCCUCCUCCUCCUUCUUCUUUUUCUCCCCCUCUUCCUCCUCCUUUUUCUCCCCCUCUUCCUCCUUUUUCUUCUCUUCCUCCUCUUCCUCUUUCUCCUCCUCCCCCUCUUCCUCCUUUCUCCUCCUCCUCCAUCUCUUCCUCAUUCUCGUCCUCCUCCUCUUCCUCAUUCUCCUCCUCCUCCUCCUCUUCCUCCUUCUCCUCCUCCCCUAAUUCCUUCUUCUUCUUCUACUCAUCCUUCUUCUUCUCUUCCUCCUUCUCCUCCUCCUCCUCUUCCUUCUUCAACUCCACCUCUUCCUUCUCCUCCUCCUCCUCCUCCUCCUCCUCCUCCUCCUUACUCUUCUCUUCCUCUCUCUUCUCCUUCUUUCUUUCCUCCUCUUCCGUUUUAUUUCUCUUCCAAAUUUGUUUUCCUAUUCCUCCUUCUUACCCUUUCUUACUUUUUGUCCUCCUCCUCCUCCUCCUCCUCCUCCUCCUCCUCCUCCUCCUUCUCCUCCUCCUCCUCCUCCUCUUUCUCCUCCUCUUACUCAUAAUCAUACACCUCCUCUUUCUCCUCCUCCUAUUCCUGGAUCUUCUUUCAUACAAGCUCCACCACCACCACCUCCUCCUCCUCCUCCUCCUCCUCCUCCUCCUCCUCCUCCAUUACCACCUCCACCACCACCACCACCACAGCACACCACCACAACGUGUCUUAUGUGUCAAGAAGAAGUGGAGACAAGAUCCACCACUAGACAUCACCACUCCACCCUCCUCCAGCUCCUCCUCCUCCUCCUUCCACCUGUUGUUUGGCCCCCUCAGGUGUGUCAGGUGUGGAGCAGAGAUACACACCUGCGCAGAUCUGUCACAGGUAAUAGCGAACUGGAAAAGGAGGAGGAAAAUAAAGGAGGAAAAAGAGGAGAAGGAAGAGGAAAGACUGAAUAACGAAAGGGGGGGAAACAAACGGUGUUUACAUUCUUAUCUGAAAUGGUGUCAAAAUCCCAUUAAUUUCCUGAAAAACAAAAUCAGAGAGGGAAAAAAGACGAGGAGGAGGAAAAGGAGGAGGAGAAGGAGGAGGAGAAGAAGGACAGGAUGGAUGAGAGGACAUGAAGAGGGGAAUGCAAAGGGAGAUGGAAACUGUGAGGAAAAAAUGGAGGUAGGGAAAAUAAACAAGGACAGUGAAUAGGAGGAGGGAAAGAAUGAAGAGGAGAUGGAGAAGAAGAUAAAGAACGUUGAAAGGAAAGGAAGAAAAGAAAGACAUGAUUCAGAAAGCAAUGAUAAAGGAAGACGAAGAAUGGAUGAAAGAUGGAAAGGAGAAAACAAACAAUGAAGGAAGGAGAAAGGAGAAAAGAUAAAGAAGAGAAGGAGAGAAAAAGAAAGACAGACAGACAGGAAAAGAGAAAAACACAAACAGAAGAAGAAGAAGAGAGAGACAAAUGUAGGAGAAGAAGGGAGGAGAGGAGAACAAGAAGAGAAAGAGAAAAAGAACAAGAGGAAGGAAAAGAGAAAAAUGAUAACUGCAUAAAAGAGAAACAGAAAAUUGAAAGAAAAAACGAAAAUGAUGAUGAUGAUGAUGAUGAUGAAGAUGAUGAUGAUGAGGAGGAGGAGGAGGAGGAGGAGGAUAGUAAAAUGAAUGAGAAGGAGAUAAUAAGACUCUAUCUCCACGAAUUAAUCUCCUUUGGGCACAAGCAUCCGUGGAGAUCAGCCUUCAGGGAGAUCAAGAGAUACAUGGAGGAGGAGGAGGAGGAGGAGGAGGAGGAGGAGGAGGAGGAGGAGGAGGAAGAGAAGGAGACUAUGAACAAGAUAAACAACGAUAAAGAAAAAAGGAAGGACAGAGAAACAAUAAACAAGAUAACAGUGAGAAAAAGGAGGAGAACAGAGGAGAUAAAGGAGAACAAGAGAACACACAGCGAGGAAGAGACGUCUCCAUCCACCUCAUCUCCACAUUCUCCUCCACAGGGCGUGCCUCAGAUGGUGGUGGAGGAGGCUGUAAUUCCGCAGGUGGAGUGGGAGGUGGACGUAGUGGAGGAGUGAGGAGGAGGAAGAGGAGAAUGUGUUGAGAAAAGGUAUUUGUUUGUUUUUAGGACGCGGAAGAAAACAAGGAACUUAAGGAAUCGAUCAUUGUGGAGGUAAAAUUCCAGUUGGAGGAGGAGGAGGGAGGAGGAGGAGGAGGAGGAGGAGGAGGAGGAGGAGGAAGAGGGGGGGAAAUGUCCAAUUAAACCCCACUGAAGGAGAAAGAAGAAUACGAAGAAUACGAGUGAAAGCGGAGAGAGAUGAAGAAGAAGACGAAGAAGAAGACGAAGAAGAACACGAAGAAGAACAAGAACAAGAAAAAAUAGAAAAUAAAGUAGCAGAAAAUCGCAGAAAGAAAUUAAAAGAAAGGAGAAGAGAGGAAAAACACAACAAUUUACUACGAAGGGGAGAUAAGAAGAUAAGAAUAACAAGCAAACGAGAGGAAAAUAAGAGAAAGGCGAGGAGAAUAACGAUAAGAGAUUACAAUUUACAAAGGAGAGAAAUGCACAAAGGUGAUGAAAGGGAGAAGGAGAGAAGGAAGGGAGAACUGAACUAUAACUUGAGAAAACGAGGAGGUGGGGAGGUGAAGGAAGAGGGAGAUGGAGGAGAUGAAGGAAGGAAAAGAAGUGAAUAUGAAAGAACUGGGGAUAAGAGAGGCGAAGGAAGGAAAGGUGAAAGAAGUGAGGGAAGGAAAACUUAAGGACAUGAAGGAGGUGAAGGAAAUGAAAGAAGUGAAGAAGGAGACAGGACAUGACUUUCCCCUCACCUCACCUGUCCCCUCACCUGCCUCGCGUCACGUCACGCUGCCCACACGCUGGAGAGUUCAUGGCCACGACACACCACAGGCGGGGGAAGCACUGCAGGCGACACACACCACUCACAUUUACGAGCAAGAAAAAUGUGACACUCCUCAUAAUUAUAAACGCAAGAUGGACACUUUCCGGACAUACGAGGGUAACAAAUCGAAAAUUUCCCGCACGUACGAGCAGAAAAC
This is a long non-coding RNA of Scylla paramamosain (green mud crab), 3993 nucleotides long. RefSeq lists it as uncharacterized. The record is from RefSeq and is a predicted model, not a curated record. The transcript has 2 exons. NCBI's taxonomy places the organism in Eukaryota, Metazoa, Arthropoda, Malacostraca, Decapoda, Portunidae.